Molecule: ribosomal RNA, 82 nt
Filed under: Staphylococcus epidermidis
Lineage: Bacteria; Bacillati; Bacillota; Bacilli; Caryophanales; Staphylococcaceae
Description: partial 23S ribosomal RNA
Source: RNAcentral
GACGAUGUUAAUAGGUUCGAGGUGGAAGCGUGGUGACACGUGGAGCUGACGAAUACUAAUCGAUCGAAGACUUAAUCAAUUU